This 260-nucleotide ribosomal RNA is filed under the name uncultured bacterium. RNAcentral describes it as "partial 16S ribosomal RNA". It matches the Rfam family "Bacterial small subunit ribosomal RNA", at positions 524 to 776 of the family's 1533-position model. The record is from RNAcentral.
UACGGAGGGUGCAAGCGUUAUCCGGAUUUAUUGGGUUUAAAGGGUCCGUAGGCGGAUCUGUAAGUCAGUGGUGAAAUCUCACAGCUUAACUGUGAAACUGCCAUUGAUACUGCAGGUCUUGAGUGUUGUUGAAGUAGCUGGAAUAAGUAGUGUAGCGGUGAAAAUGCAUAGAUAUUACUUUAGAAACACCAAUUUGCGAAAGGCAGGUUACUAAAGCAAACAACUGACGCUGAUGGACGAAAGCGUGGGGAGCGAACAGG